This 512-nucleotide ribosomal RNA is filed under the name uncultured Streptomyces sp. RNAcentral describes it as "bacterial SSU rRNA". It matches the Rfam family "Bacterial small subunit ribosomal RNA", at positions 144 to 670 of the family's 1533-position model. The record is from RNAcentral. Lineage: Bacteria; Bacillati; Actinomycetota; Actinomycetes; Kitasatosporales; Streptomycetaceae.
CAAGCCCUGGAAACGGGGUCUAAUACCGGAUAUGACCUGGGGGCGCAUGCUUCUGGGUGGAAAGCUCCGGCGGUGCAGGAUGAGCCCGCGGCCUAUCAGCUUGUUGGUGGGGUGAUGGCCUACCAAGGCGACGACGGGUAGCCGGCCUGAGAGGGCGACCGGCCACACUGGGACUGAGACACGGCCCAGACUCCUACGGGAGGCAGCAGUGGGGAAUAUUGCACAAUGGGCGCAAGCCUGAUGCAGCGACGCCGCGUGAGGGAUGACGGCCUUCGGGUUGUAAACCUCUUUCAGCAGGGAAGAAGCGUAAGUGACGGUACCUGCAGAAGAAGCACCGGCUAACUACGUGCCAGCAGCCGCGGUAAUACGUAGGGUGCGAGCGUUGUCCGGAAUUAUUGGGCGUAAAGAGCUCGUAGGCGGCUUGUCGCGUCGGAUGUGAAAGCCCGGGGCUUAACUCCGGGUCUGCAUUCGAUACGGGCAGGCUAGAGUUCGGUAGGGGAGAUCGGAAUUCC